AAGCUCGUAGUUGAAUUUCGGAAUUUGUCGGUUGGUCGGGCUUCACUGUCCGCACUGGCCUGAUAGAUUCUUACCUUCUGAAUAACCAGCAUGCUAUUAAUUUAGUGCGUUGGGGAAGCAGAGCUAUUACCUUGAAAAAAUUAGAGUGCUUAAAGCAGGCUUAUGCUUGAAUAGAUUAGCAUGGAAUAAUAAAAUAGGACGGCUUGGUUCUAUUUUGUUGGUUUCUAGGAUCACCGUAAUGAUUAAUAGGGAUAGUUGGG
Molecule: ribosomal RNA, 260 nt
Filed under: uncultured Glomus
Lineage: Eukaryota; Fungi; Glomeromycota; Glomeromycetes; Glomerales; Glomeraceae
Description: partial 18S ribosomal RNA
Rfam family: Eukaryotic small subunit ribosomal RNA
Source: RNAcentral